Molecule: ribosomal RNA, 254 nt
Filed under: uncultured bacterium
Lineage: Bacteria
Description: partial 16S ribosomal RNA
Rfam family: Bacterial small subunit ribosomal RNA
Source: RNAcentral
UACGUAGGGUGCAAGCGUUUAUCCGGAAUUAUUGGGCGUAAAGAGCUCGUAGGCGGUUUGUCGCGUCUGCUGUGAAAACUGGAGGCUCAACCUCCAGCCUGCGGUGGGUACGGGCAGACUAGAGUGAUGUAGGGGAGACUGGAAUUCCUGGUGUAGCGGUGAAAUGCGCAGAUAUCAGGAGGAACACCGGUGGCGAAGGCGGGUCUCUGGGCCGUAACUGACGCUGAGGAGCGAAAGCGUGGGGAGCAAACAGG